RNAcentral lists this ribosomal RNA (1110 nucleotides) under Trichoderma pulvinatum. RNAcentral describes it as "SSU rRNA". It matches the Rfam family "Eukaryotic small subunit ribosomal RNA", at positions 21 to 1142 of the family's 1831-position model. The record is from RNAcentral. Lineage: Eukaryota; Fungi; Ascomycota; Sordariomycetes; Hypocreales; Hypocreaceae.
AGUCAUAUGCUUGUCUCAAAGAUUAAGCCAUGCAUGUCUAAGUAUAAGCAAUUAUACCGCGAAACUGCGAAUGGCUCAUUAUAUAAGUUAUCGUUUAUUUGAUAAUACUUUACUACUUGGAUAACCGUGGUAAUUCUAGAGCUAAUACAUGCUAAAAAUCCCGACUUCGGAAGGGUUGUAUUUAUUAGAUUAAAAACCAAUGCCCCUCGGGGCUCUCUGGUGAAUCAUGAUAACUAGUCGAAUCGACAGGCCUUGUGCCGGCGAUGGCUCAUUCAAAUUUCUUCCCUAUCAACUUUCGAUGUUUGGGUAUUGGCCAAACAUGGUGGCAACGGGUAACGGAGGGUUAGGGCUCGACCCCGGAGAAGGAGCCUGAGAAACGGCUACUACAUCCAAGGAAGGCAGCAGGCGCGCAAAUUACCCAAUCCCGACACGGGGAGGUAGUGACAAUAAAUACUGAUACAGGGCUCUUUCGGGUCUUGUAAUCGGAAUGAGUACAAUUUAAAUCCCUUAACGAGGAACAAUUGGAGGGCAAGUCUGGUGCCAGCAGCCGCGGUAAUUCCAGCUCCAAUAGCGUAUAUUAAAGUUGUUGUGGUUAAAAAGCUCGUAGUUGAACCUUGGGCCUUGCCGGCCAGUCCGCCUCACCGCGUGCACUGGUCCGGCCGGGCCUUUCCCUCUGCGGAACCCCAUGCCCUUCACUGGGUGUGGCGGGGAAACAGGACUUUUACUUUGAAAAAAUUAGAGUGCUCAAGGCAGGCCUAUGCUCGAAUACAUUAGCAUGGAAUAAUAGAAUAGGACGUGUGGUUCUAUUUUGUUGGUUUCUAGGACCGCCGUAAUGAUUAAUAGGGACAGUCGGGGGCAUCAGUAUUCAAUUGUCAGAGGUGAAAUUCUUGGAUUUAUUGAAGACUAACUACUGCGAAAGCAUUUGCCAAGGAUGUUUUCAUUAAUCAGGAACGAAAGUUAGGGGAUCGAAGACGAUCAGAUACCGUCGUAGUCUUAACCAUAAACUAUGCCGACUAGGGAUCGGACGAUGUUAUAUUUUUGACGCGUUCGGCACCUUACGAGAAAUCAAAGUGCUUGGGCUCCAGGGGGAGUAUGGUCGCAAGGCUGAAA